Molecule: ribosomal RNA, 340 nt
Filed under: uncultured Nitrosomonadales bacterium
Lineage: Bacteria; Pseudomonadati; Pseudomonadota; Betaproteobacteria; Nitrosomonadales
Description: SSU rRNA
Rfam family: Bacterial small subunit ribosomal RNA
Source: RNAcentral
UUGAACGCUGGCGGAAUGCUUUACACAUGCAAGUCGAACGGCAGCAUAGAGAGCUUGCUCUCUGAUGGCGAGUGGCGAACGGGUGAGUAAUAUAUCGGAACGUGCCUAGUAAUGGGGAAUAACUAGCUGAAAGGUUAGCUAAUGCCGCAUACGACCUACGGGUGAAAGCAGGGGAUCUUCGGACCUUGCGUUAUUAGAGCGGCCGAUAUCUGAUUAGCUUGUUGGUGGGGUAAUGGCCUACCAAGGCGACGAUCAGUAGCUGGUCUGAGAGGACGAUCAGCCACACUGGAACUGAGACACGGCCCAGACUCCUACGGGAGGCAGCAGUGGGGAAUCUUGC